AUUGAACGCUGGCGGCAUGCCUUACACAUGCAAGUCGAACGGCAGCACGGAGCUUGCUCUGGUGGCGAGUGGCGAACGGGUGAGUAAUAUAUCGGAACGUACCCUAGAGUGGGGGAUAACGUAGCGAAAGUUACGCUAAUACCGCAUACGAUCUAAGGAUGAAAGUGGGGGAUCGCAAGACCUCAUGCUCGUGGAGCGGCCGAUAUCUGAUUAGCUAGUUGGUAGGGUAAAAGCCUACCAAGGCAUCGAUCAGUAGCUGGUCUGAGAGGACGACCAGCCACACUGGAACUGAGACACGGUCCAGACUCCUACGGGAGGCAGCAGUGGGGAAUUUUGGACAAUGGGCGAAAGCCUGAUCCAGCAAUGCCGCGUGAGUGAAGAAGGCCUUCGGGUUGUAAAGCUCUUUUGUCAGGGAAGAAACGGUGAGAGCUAAUAUCUCUUGCUAAUGACGGUACCUGAAGAAUAAGCACCGGCUAACUACGUGCCAGCAGCCGCGGUAAUACGUAGGGUGCAAGCGUUAAUCGGAAUUACUGGGCGUAAAGCGUGCGCAGGCGGUUUUGUAAGUCUGAUGUGAAAUCCCCGGGCUCAACCUGGGAAUUGCAUUGGAGACUGCAAGGCUAGAAUCUGGCAGAGGGGGGUAGAAUUCCACGUGUAGCAGUGAAAUGCGUAGAUAUGUGGAGGAACACCGAUGGCGAAGGCAGCCCCCUGGGUCAAGAUUGACGCUCAUGCACGAAAGCGUGGGGAGCAAACAGGAUUAGAUACCCUGGUAGUCCACGCCCUAAACGAUGUCUACUAGUUGUCGGGUCUUAAUUGACUUGGUAACGCAGCUAACGCGUGAAGUAGACCGCCUGGGGAGUACGGUCGCAAGAUUAAAACUCAAAGGAAUUGACGGGGACCCGCACAAGCGGUGGAUGAUGUGGAUUAAUUCGAUGCAACGCGAAAAACCUUACCUACCCUUGACAUGGCUGGAAUCCCCGAGAGAUCAGGGAGUGCUCGAAAGAGAACCAGUACACAGGCGCUGCAUGGCUGUCGUCAGCUCGUGUCGUGAGAUGUUGGGUUAAGUCCCGCAACGAGCGCAACCCUUGUCAUUAGUUGCUACGAAAGGGCACUCUAAUGAGACUGCCGGUGACAAACCGGAGGAAGGUGGGGAUGACGUCAAGUCCUCAUGGCCCUUAUGGGUAGGGCUUCACACGUCAUACAAUGGUACAUACAGAGCGCCGCCAACCCGCGAGGGGGAGCUAAUCGCAGAAAGUGUAUCGUAGUCCGGAUUGUAGUCUGCAACUCGACUGCAUGAAGUUGGAAUCGCUAGUAAUCGCGGAUCAGCAUGUCGCGGUGAAUACGUUCCCGGGUCU
This 1352-nucleotide ribosomal RNA is filed under the name uncultured bacterium. RNAcentral's name for it is "bacterial SSU rRNA". It matches the Rfam family "Bacterial small subunit ribosomal RNA", at positions 28 to 1381 of the family's 1533-position model. The record is from RNAcentral.